This 1513-nucleotide long non-coding RNA is filed under the name Homo sapiens (human). Its description in RNAcentral is "HSALNT0309620". Lineage: Eukaryota; Metazoa; Chordata; Mammalia; Primates; Hominidae. The record is from RNAcentral.
AGGACAAGGGCCUGAAGACCUUGGGCGAGGCUCUGGCAAUGGGGGGGACAGGGUAGAAGGACAUACUGGGUUUAGCCCGAGGAGGAAAGGAAGCGGUGCUGGGUUUUGAUAAGAAGUAGGCGACUUUGUCCUGAACCCAAGACCUGAGACAGAGCUCUGAAAAUUUCCAAAGGCAUUGUCCAGAACAAUAAGCACCAAGUCCAUGCACUAGCAAAGGCAUUGCCCAGAACAGUAAGCACCAAGCCCCUGCACUAUCAGACCCUCCCGCGGGACAGUUCUGACAGCAGGCCCAGGCCAUGCCAGAGGUGGAAGAGGCGGGUCAUCAGCUGCUCACUUCUCUUCAGCCCUGGAAGCCAGAAGCUGGGGGCUGGAGAGAGGGAAGAUGCUCUCAACUGGAUGGAAACCAUUCAAAGUUUUGACAUGACAACUUACAGGAUUUUUUAAUUAUUAAAAUGAGACUGAUCUUGGAACUACAUGCAGCUGGAGGGCUUUCAGUUAUCUGGGAAUGAUGGACCAAAAAAACCAAACCAACCAAACAGCGAUGGGACUUUCCUCAAUUCAUUCCGGACAAGUCAACAAAGAAGUGUAAAGGGAGUUACAGGGCACUUUGUUCCUUCCUGCUUCUCUGAUUCUCCCUGUGUGCUACAAGAGAUUUGCCUUUCAGAUGGGUUUUUCUGGCACUGGUGAGGGGAGGUGAUUAGCGGUGGGAGGGUGAGCCGAGAGACAAGCCGGGAAUGGCCUGGCAGCUGUGCUUGUCAUCCACACCACAGAUACUUCAAGGCUGGACUAUCCAGGGCUUUCACUAACUGAUGCAACAUGGGGAGAUUUUGUUCUGGAAGAUUCCAUGAUUUAAGGACUCCAGACCUCAACCCAGCUCCAUUCCCGCAGCCCCCCAGGCAUUCACUCAGAGCUGAUGGGAAUUUUUUUCAGCUCUCUGGACCAUGGCCAGCAUCAUAGCCGUGGUGUCUGCCUUGCUCUCUGAUCCGGGCUAUGACUUCCUGAAGGCACUGUUCCCCAUUCGCAGACGCAUGGACCCAGCCUCUAACCACAACCACACAUGAACGCACACGCAGCCCAGCCUCCUUGGAAGGAUUUGCAAGGGAUCGCCGUCAGGGGCCUCGAAAAUCAAAUACCAGAGAUAAGGGGUACCAGAGGGAGCCCAGCAGCCCCUGAGGCCCAACUGCUACCUUCUCAGUCCCCUGAGCACUGACUUCAUGUUGCCCGGCACAGAGGCCACUGGCUGUGUGGCUAAUGAACACUGGGAACGCCCACGCUCAAACUGAGAUGCUCUGAAAGUGUAAAAUACAUGCCCAAUUUAGCAGUCAACACAAGAAAAAAAGGUAAAAUAUUUCACACAUAAUUCCCAUAAAGGGUACCUGUGAAAAUAAUGUUGGAUCUAUUGAGACCAAUAAAAUAUAUUAUUAAAAUUAAUUUCACCCUUAUUUUUAAAGUUCUAAAGCUUGGAUUCUAGGAAAUGUAAGGUCGGGUAUAGGGCUCACACUGUAUUUCCUUU